GACGAACGCUGGCGGCGUGCUUAACACAUGCAAGUCGAACGGAAAGGCCCCUUCGGGGGUACUCGAGUGGCGAACGGGUGAGUAACACGUGAGUAACCUGCCCUUGACUUCGGGAUAACUUCAGGAAACUGGGGCUAAUACCGGAUAGGAAUCCUUGCUGCAUGGUGGGGGUUGGAAAGCUUCGGCGGUUUUGGAUGGACUCGCGGCUUAUCAGCUUGUUGGUGGGGUAGUGGCUUACCAAGGCUUUGACGGGUAGCCGGCCUGAGAGGGCGACCGGCCACAUUGGGACUGAGAUACGGCCCAGACUCCUACGGGAGGCAGCAGUGGGGAAUAUUGCACAAUGGGCGGAAGCCUGAUGCAGCAACGCCGCGUGCGGGAUGACGGCCUUCGGGUUGUAAACCGCUUUCAGCAGGGGCGAAGCUUGUGGUGACGGUACCUGCAGAAGAAGCACCCGCUAACUACGUG
This 465-nucleotide ribosomal RNA is filed under the name uncultured bacterium. RNAcentral's name for it is "partial 16S ribosomal RNA". It matches the Rfam family "Bacterial small subunit ribosomal RNA", at positions 28 to 507 of the family's 1533-position model. The record is from RNAcentral.